AUACAGAGGGUGCGAGCGUUAAUCGGAAUUACUGGGCGUAAAGCGCGCGUAGGCGGCUUGGUCAGUCGGAUGUGAAAGCCCUGGGCUCAACCUGGGAAUUGCAUUCGAUACUGCCAAGCUAGAGUAUGGGAGAGGGAAGUGGAAUUUCCGGUGUAGCGGUGAAAUGCGUAGAUAUCGGAAAGAACACCAGUGGCGAAGGCGACUUCCUGGCCCAAUACUGACGCUGAGGUGCGAAAGCGUGGGGAGCGAACAGGAUUAGAAACCCCUGUAGUCC
This 274-nucleotide ribosomal RNA is filed under the name uncultured bacterium. RNAcentral's name for it is "partial 16S ribosomal RNA". It matches the Rfam family "Bacterial small subunit ribosomal RNA", at positions 523 to 796 of the family's 1533-position model. The record is from RNAcentral.